Abrus precatorius (Indian licorice) is the source of this 1647-nucleotide RNA transcript. It is a transcript of the gene named protein REVEILLE 8-like, with no coding region annotated. The transcript is spliced from 10 exons. NCBI's taxonomy places the organism in Eukaryota, Viridiplantae, Streptophyta, Magnoliopsida, Fabales, Fabaceae. The record is from RefSeq and is a predicted model, not a curated record.
GAACCAGAAGAGUGGCAGUAAAAGCAACCAUUCCUUAACAAAUAUGCACCUCAGAUGUCCACCACCCCACCCCACCAAUUCUUUUGUUUUUCUUUCUUUCUUUCUUUUUUUAUUAUUACUUUUAAUUUUUUUGCAUGAAUAAUAUCAACAGUUCAAGUUGUCAAUCAAUGGCAAUGGCGCCUUCAAUUCCCACGAAUGGGUCAGGGAAGAAGGUUAGAAAGCCUUAUACUAUUACCAAGUCUAGGGAAAGCUGGUCUGAAGAAGAGCAUGACAAGUUUCUUGAAGCUCUUCAACUAUUUGAUAGAGAUUGGAAGAAAAUUGAAGAUUUUGUAGGUUCAAAAACGGUUAUUCAGAUUAGAAGUCAUGCCCAGAAAUACUUCUUGAAAGUUCAAAAGAAUGGGACAAUAGCACAUGUUCCUCCUCCUCGUCCUAAGCGCAAAGCUGCUCAUCCUUAUCCACAAAAGGCACCCAAAAAUGUUUUGGUGCCAUUGCCAGCUUCCAUGGCUUAUGUUUCUUCCUCUAGUACCUUUCCACAUGGUUAUGCCACAUGGGAUGAAAAUUCUUUGCGCACGAAUGAAGGAUCCAACAAAUCAGUGCCCUGUCAGGAUGGACUCACCGAUCUUCAUGGAAAUGAAGCUCAUAUUGGAUCAAAGGGAACAACACGAAUUGGCCACAGUAGUCUUAGUGGUGUAGGGAAUUCUACUAGAAAGCUUAUUGAGAUGCCAAAACAAGGGAAACAGGCAUCGGUGCUUCAGGGUUUGCCAGAUUUUGCUGAAGUUUACAGCUUCAUUGGAAGUGUUUUUGAUCCAGAAACAAAAGGCCAUGUCCAGAAGCUGAAGGAAAUGGAUCCUAUAAAUUUUGAAACUGUUUUGUUAUUAAUGAAAAACCUCUCUGUCAACUUGUCUUCCCCUGACUUUGAUCCCAUUGUGAAAUGCCAAUUUCACAUGUAUUAUUCAUCUGGCUUUUCUAUCUAGGAAGGCCUUGUUAUCGUACAAUGUCAUGACCAAGAUUAUAGGAGUUAACGAAGGAAUUGACGUGAAGAAGCAGAGAAAUGAUGUAUCAUGUCAAACCACAUGACAACCAUUAAUUGAAUUAUUAGCUGGGUCAAAAUUGGAUGGAAGAAUGAGGUUUUGCUCAACCAGCAACAAUUCAUGCACUUGCUGUGAAGCUUGUGAAUGCAACAAAACCAUCAGUCUUUGUAACCACUAUUACGAGAGUGUAUUGUUAGAAGUUCUACUAGAGCCAAAAAUAUUCUUCAGCUAAUUCUAAGGUCCAUAAGGUUUUGCUGAAUUGCAGUGAUUGUGUAUUAUGAUAGGCGAUAGCUAUUUGUAGAAUGUGGUUUUCAGGUACACACAGGUCUAAAUAGUAAGAUAAGCUUGACGGUUUCAGUGGUAUUAAAUUUGUGUGUUUGGUUGUUGGUGGUGGUGGGUUGGGGGAGGUUGCUAUUAUCAUCUAUCAAUGUGGCUUUUCAAUGCGGAAUAAGAAGCAUCAUAAUAGGAGAUGGAGAUGGUCCCAGUUUCUAAUUUUGAUUGACAUUUUCUAGCUUCAUUAACUUGAAUGCAAGUAUGAACAUAUCAAGAAAGCAGUUCAACAUAGUACCAGUUGUGUCUUCAGUUAUUUGUCGUCACAAUGAAGUACCAAACUUCA